Pelobates cultripes (western spadefoot toad) is the source of this 629-nucleotide non-coding RNA. NCBI's taxonomy places the organism in Eukaryota, Metazoa, Chordata, Amphibia, Anura, Pelobatidae. The record is from the annotation of a GenBank genome assembly.
GUUCACAGUGGCGCACCGAGUAUAUAGCUGGAGAGAUUAAUAUACUACUGAUUGUCCCUAUGGAGGCAGAGUAUAAUAAAGCCAGAGAAAGAGAAUAUCUCAUAUAGUUACAUGAGCUAUGAGGUGCACAGCCCAUCAAUCUGGUCCUCCCUCCAGCCCAAAUACCCUCCACGCCAAUCGUGACAACUCAGGUUGUCUCCCUGGAGCCAAUCAUGUCAAUCCAAAUCAAGUGUUUGCGGUUUACUUUGAAAAAUUGAGAGUGUUCAAAGCAGGCCGAUCGCCUGCAUACUUCAGUUAGGAAUAAUGGAAUAGGACUCCGGUUCUAUUUUGUUGGUUUUCGGAACUGGGGCCAUGAUUAAGAGGGAUGGCUGGGUGCAUUUGUAUUGUGCCACUCAAGGUGAAAUUCUUGGACCGGCACAAGACGAACCAAAGUGAAACCAUUUGCUAAGAAUGUUUUCAUUAAUCAAUCAUUAAUUAAGAACAAAAGUCAGAGGUUCAAAGACAAUCAGAUUCCGCCGUAGUUUCGACCAUAAACGAUGUCGACUAGCGAUCCGGCAGCGUUUAUUUAUUUAUUUUAACAUGUAUAGCUUGGAGGAAAGACAAGACAGAAAUGAUAGAAACAUUUAAAU